This 73-nucleotide transfer RNA is filed under the name Candidimonas nitroreducens. RNAcentral's name for it is "tRNA-Ser". It matches the Rfam family "tRNA", at positions 14 to 71 of the family's 71-position model. From Rfam's summary of the family: Transfer RNA (tRNA) molecules are approximately 80 nucleotides in length. Their secondary structure includes four short double-helical elements and three loops (D, anti-codon, and T loops). The record is from RNAcentral. Lineage: Bacteria; Pseudomonadati; Pseudomonadota; Betaproteobacteria; Burkholderiales; Alcaligenaceae.
AAGGCUGUGCGACGACCGGAAUACCGGCCUGUCACGCCGGGGGUCGCGGGUUCGAGUCCCGUCCGCUCCGCCA